RNAcentral lists this long non-coding RNA (823 nucleotides) under Homo sapiens (human). RNAcentral describes it as "HSALNT0107488". Lineage: Eukaryota; Metazoa; Chordata; Mammalia; Primates; Hominidae. The record is from RNAcentral.
CAGCCAGAAAGCGCUCGGAACCUGUCUGAACUCAAACACCCUGCUCUCUCCCGGAUCUAGGCCGAGCGGGGCCGUGGUCCCGUCCUCGCUUUUCCCUGGGCUCAAGAAUGCCUGGAGGAGAGGCCUGGGGGCCGCGGGUGAGAGCAAGGGUUGUAGCACCUUCGAGAGUGUGGGGCGGAUUCAGCCCACAGUAGUAGCGACAGGAUUUCACCAUAUUGGCUCGGAUGGUCUCAAACUAAGACAGAGAAAAAGAGAAAACAACAACAAAAAUGAAGCAAGAGUAAACUGCCAACUCCAACUGCCUUUCUGGAAGGCCUAAUUUGAAGAUGUCUGAAAUUCUGUAUCACUGGCUCCCAGACAUAUCAUGUUUAUUUGUACAUCACACCUUUGCCCACCUCUGCUCAGUGGACCUCCAGCCUAAAAUGCCUCCCUUGUUCCUCUGUCUCACUUCAGCUGUUAUUGAAGUCUCCUGGUACAAUGUGACAUUUCCAGCGUCUUGUUUUCCAAUCAGAUCAGUGGCUCUCAGUGGACCAACUGAUAAGGAACAUUUGGAAAAUGUUACGAUGAUUGAGGGCUGUACUGGUAUUUGGUGGGCAGGGAAUGACAAUGUCCUGUGAUGUAUCCAUCAUAAUGGAAAAUUAUCUGAUGUCUUGGGCAAAUAACAGCAGUCCUGCCAGACAAAAUGAAGGUGAAAAAUUCAUUUAUAAUUGCCUAAGUUCAGAGCUUCUCUCUGUUUUACAUACAAGUACAAGAAAUGUUUGGCACAGUUUUAAUGUAUACUGAAUUAUAGGAAUCCAAUUACAAUAUAUUUUGCUUAACAUAG